AUGGACCAUCCUCUGCUCAGUUGCACAGUUGGGACGGUUUUUAUACGGCGCUACACCACCGUGUGGCACUUCGGUAGCGGAACCAGAUUGAAUGUUCUGAGUCGGCAGCCAGCCAAUUCCACAGUGUUGCUUCUUCCCCCAGCAACGGAGCAGAUUGCAGCAGCCAACGAGGCGACGCUAGUGUGUUCGGUGAAUAAUUUUUACCCCGAUUCCGUGAAAUUUGUGUGGAGCGUGGACGGCAAAGACAGAGAGGGGGGCAUCCAGACCAGUUCGACCUUGCAGGGCUCUGACCAGACGUAUAGUGCGAGCAGUUACCUGACCCUGUCCAACUCCGACUGGAACUCACACGAGAUUUAUUCCUGCGGCGUGAAACACGAGACUCUUGGGUCUACACUUGAGCAAAGUAUCAGACGAUCAAGCUGCAUGUGAUUAAGAAAUAAAUUUAUUGUUACAACCAACGUAUCUGUAUUGCUGUUUUUAAAAAAACUCGCGGCUGUUUCGUGUUUUGAGACUCAUCCAAUGAAAUGUCCAUUUUGCUGUUGAUGUUGACCUUUUGAAAAAUGAUACUUCAUUGUUUUUUUUUCCUGUACGUUUUAUAUUUUAAAUACAGCCAUUGCAUUUGUGCGCAGUCUAUUAACAUUUUACUUUUAGCCCUGAAUA
Molecule: non-coding RNA, 660 nt
Organism: Carcharodon carcharias (great white shark)
Lineage: Eukaryota; Metazoa; Chordata; Chondrichthyes; Lamniformes; Lamnidae
Source: the annotation of a RefSeq genome assembly